CCCUCCUACAAAGGCGUGUCCUUUGCUCCCUGUCUUUGGACGCGUAAGAACUGGAGGCAAAGAAAUGAGGAUUUGGAGAGAUCUCGGGCCGGCUUGCUCCCCGCAGGCUCAAGAUCACCUGUCCCACAAUA
This is a small nucleolar RNA of Cavia aperea (Brazilian guinea pig), 131 nucleotides long. Lineage: Eukaryota; Metazoa; Chordata; Mammalia; Rodentia; Caviidae. The record is from Ensembl.